AUACGUAGGUGGCGAGCGUUAUCCGGAAUUACUGGGUGUAAAGGGUGUGUAGGCGGGAAGGCAAGUCGGAUGUGAAAAUUAUGGGCUCAACCCAUAGACUGCUUUUGAAACUGCGUAACUAGAGUGCAGGAGAGGAAAGUGGAAUUCCUAGUGUAGCGGUGAAAUGCGUAGAUAUUAGGAGGAAAACCAGUGGCGAGGGAGGCUUGCGGGGCCAUAACGGACCCUGAGGCACGAAAGCGUGGGGAGCAAACAGGAUUAGAUACCCUGGUAGUCCACGCCGUAAACGAUGAGUACUAAGUGUAGGAGAAAUUCUGUGCUGUAGUUAACGCAAUAAGUACUCCGCCUGAGUAGUACGUACGCAAGUAUGAAACUCAAAGGAAUUGACGGGG
Molecule: ribosomal RNA, 389 nt
Filed under: uncultured bacterium
Lineage: Bacteria
Description: partial 16S ribosomal RNA
Rfam family: Bacterial small subunit ribosomal RNA
Source: RNAcentral